GACGAACGCUGGCGGCGUGCUUAACACAUGCAAGUCGAGCGGUAAGGCCCUUUCGGGGGUACACGAGCGGCGAACGGGUGAGUAACACGUGGGUGACCUGCCCUCAGCUCUGGGAUAAGCCUGGGAAACCGGGUCUAAUACUGGAUAUGACUCCAUGACGCAUGUUGUGGGGUGGAAAGCCUUGUGCGGCUGAGGAUGGGCCCGCGGCCUAUCAGCUUGUUGGUGGGGUGAGGCCUACCAAGGCGACGACGGGUAGCCGGCCUGAGAGGGCGACCGGCC
RNAcentral lists this ribosomal RNA (279 nucleotides) under uncultured bacterium. RNAcentral's name for it is "partial 16S ribosomal RNA". It matches the Rfam family "Bacterial small subunit ribosomal RNA", at positions 28 to 309 of the family's 1533-position model. The record is from RNAcentral.